This 339-nucleotide long non-coding RNA is filed under the name Cavia porcellus (domestic guinea pig). RNAcentral describes it as "lncRNA (ENSCPOG00000033160.1)". Lineage: Eukaryota; Metazoa; Chordata; Mammalia; Rodentia; Caviidae. The record is from RNAcentral.
CUUGGAUUAUCAAAAUAUAUUCUGCUGCUUAAGUUUGAAUGAAAACUAUUUUAUUUCAUUAAUUUCCAAAUGUAGCAUCAAUAUUUAGAAAAAAAUUGAGGCUCCUUAAUUUGGAAGUUAGAUUUCUGGCAGUUCAAAUUUCUGGACAAAGCUGUGAGUCAGUCUUCAAACAUCUUCAUGUUCAUACCUUUAGAACAUUCAGUGCUGAUGAUUCAAAGUCACCAACAAAAUUUUCUUUCUUCUUGCAUCUUGAUUUACCAAGACCCAUGUUGAUUUGAUGAUGUCAAAUUAUGCCUGCAUCAACCUCUCUGUGUGUCUGGAGGACUGUGGAUAUCUCAG